GGGGGGGGGGGGGAAAUUGCCCCGGGCCCCGAGGCUCUGGGGCCCCCUAGAAAUAUAAUGUUAGAAAUUUAAUGGGCCCCAGUAAUUUUUUCGGGCGAAAUAUUUCUGUUUUCGGGCCAAAAAUAUUUGUGUUUUGGGGGCAAUGAACCGAAAUUUGGUAUGGAAAAUUGCGGAAAGUCCAACGAAAGCAAUUAUAACGCACCUAAAAAGAAUUUAUUGUCCGAAAAUUUUUUUUCCGGAAAAUUUUUUUACAAUAGGGGCCCCUAAAAUUUUUUUUUGCCCCGGGCCCCCGCCAAGCUCUCGGUGGCCCUGGAUGCAUCUGCUGGUUUUGACGCCAGCGGAACAAGAUCAUGAACCCACUUUGUGGCGCAUUGGGAUUGUAAUGUAACGCUACACGACUUUUUGUUUCUAUGCGGUCGGAAAGAUAGUGCGAAAUA
Non-coding RNA from Paramuricea clavata, 437 nucleotides. The record is from the annotation of a GenBank genome assembly. Lineage: Eukaryota; Metazoa; Cnidaria; Anthozoa; Malacalcyonacea; Plexauridae.